AACGCACGAGACCUGCGGACCUGCGGAGGGAUCAUUACUGAGGAGGGUCCAUGGCCCGAUCUCCAACCCUUUGAUAAAAACACCAUGUUGCUUUGGCAGGCCCGCCCGUUGGGGCCGCGGGGGAUCGCCGGUCCCUAGCCCGUGCCUGCCGGUAGCCUUCACAAAACUCUCAAAAUGUUGUCGUCUGAGAUGAUUAGAAUAAUAAAACUUUUAACAACGGAUCUCUAGAUCGGAAGAGCA
Molecule: unclassified non-coding RNA, 240 nt
Filed under: soil metagenome
Description: partial contains 5.8S ribosomal RNA, internal transcribed spacer 2, and large subunit ribosomal RNA
Source: RNAcentral